GACGAAUGCUGGCGGCGUGCUUAACACAUGCAAGUCGAACGGAAAGGCCCUGCUUUUGUGGGGUGCUCGAGUGGCGAACGGGUGAGUAACACGUGAGUAACCUGCCCUUGACUUUGGGAUAACUUCAGGAAACUGGGGCUAAUACCGGAUAGGAGCUCCUGCUGCAUGGUGGUGGUUGGAAAGUUUCGGCGGUUGGGGAUGGACUCGCGGCUUAUCAGCUUGUUGGUGGGGUAGUGGCUUACCAAGGCUUUGACGGGUAGCCGGCCUGGGAGGGUGACCGGACACAUUGGGACUGCGAUACGGCCCAGACUCCUACGGGAGGCAGCAGUGGGGAAUAUUGCACAAUGGGCGGAAGCCUGAUGCAGCAACGCCGCGUGCGGGAUGACGGCCUUCGGGUUGUAAACCGCUUUCGCCUGUGACGAAGCGUGAGUGACGGUAAUGGGUAAAGAAGCACCGGCUAACUACGUG
Molecule: ribosomal RNA, 468 nt
Filed under: uncultured bacterium
Lineage: Bacteria
Description: partial 16S ribosomal RNA
Rfam family: Bacterial small subunit ribosomal RNA
Source: RNAcentral